UACGGAGGGUGCAAGCGUAUCCGGAUCACUGGGUUUAAAGGGUGCGUAGGCGGGCAGGUAAGUCAGUGGUGAAAUCUCCGGGCUUAACCCGGGAACUGCCGUUGAUACUAUCUGUCUUGAAUAUCGUGGAGGUAAGCGGAAUAUGUCAUGUAGCGGUGAAAUGCUUAGAUAUGACUAGAAACACCCAAUUUGCGUAGGCAGCUUA
This 205-nucleotide ribosomal RNA is filed under the name uncultured bacterium. RNAcentral describes it as "partial 16S ribosomal RNA". It matches the Rfam family "Bacterial small subunit ribosomal RNA", at positions 524 to 728 of the family's 1533-position model. The record is from RNAcentral.